RNAcentral lists this long non-coding RNA (359 nucleotides) under Homo sapiens (human). RNAcentral describes it as "long non-coding RNA NONHSAT005704.2". Lineage: Eukaryota; Metazoa; Chordata; Mammalia; Primates; Hominidae. The record is from RNAcentral.
UCCCCUUGAAGUGCCCCCCUCCUCACCUGGCCCCCCUCACCUUGCCUCCUCCCCCUCACUCCUAUGCCAGUCCCUGCCAUUCCCUACCCCCUCUGCUGACCGCAAGACUCAACAAGUGACUUGCUGAGCAAACCCUGCUGAGAAGAGACUUUCUUCAGUCACAUCUGAAUAAAUCACUUAGAAGGAGCUUAUAGCUUCAUUGCACUGUGUGUGACAUUUGGGUCCUGUUUGGCAGCAAUGACUGCCUUUCUGUUUAGUGUCUGUGUGCUAUGAAGAUUGCACACAGGGGUCCAGAUGCAUCCUGUUUUGAGAAUGUUAAUGGAUACACCAGCUGCUGCUUUGGAUUUCACCCAUUGGCG